CUCAAAGCCAAGCAAGCCACACAGAAAGGGUUUUGGGGGGUGUGAAAGCCAAGAUGAGUCUUUGUGCCUAGCUUCUUUCCUAGGGGCACUCUAGGAGUCUCUGAGUGAUGUGUAAAUUGAACUUGCUUCUAUCAGAGGGAUUUUAUUGGGUGAACAAAGCACAAAGAGCGAGGUCCCUGGUCAAGCAGAGGGUAAGCAGAGGAGUAACGCUGCGGUUUCCCUGCCUGAGCUGAUUUACUGCGCUGAUCCUACAGGGAGAGCAAAGAAAGAAAAAAAAAAAGAAAAGAAAAGAAAAAGAGGAGGAAAAAAAACCCCAACAAGCAUUAGAGCAUUUGAAAGCAGGAAUAUCACUG
This 353-nucleotide long non-coding RNA is filed under the name Gallus gallus (chicken). RNAcentral describes it as "lncRNA (ENSGALG00010012174.1)". Lineage: Eukaryota; Metazoa; Chordata; Aves; Galliformes; Phasianidae. The record is from RNAcentral.